Molecule: ribosomal RNA, 253 nt
Filed under: uncultured bacterium
Lineage: Bacteria
Description: partial 16S ribosomal RNA
Rfam family: Bacterial small subunit ribosomal RNA
Source: RNAcentral
UACAGAGGUCUCAACCGUUGUUCGGAUUCAUUGGGCGUAAAGGGUGCGUAGGCGGUCGGGUAAGUCGGAUGUGAAAUCUCAGGGCUCAACCCUGAAACUGCAUUCGAUACUGCCUGGCUAGGGUACUGGAGAGGAGACUGGAAUUUACGGUGUAGCAGUGAAAUGCGUAGAUAUCGUAAGGAAGACCAGUGGCGAAGGCGAGUCUCUGGACAGUUACCGACGCUGAGGCACGAAGGUCAGGGGAGCGAACGGG